This 253-nucleotide ribosomal RNA is filed under the name uncultured bacterium. RNAcentral's name for it is "partial 16S ribosomal RNA". It matches the Rfam family "Bacterial small subunit ribosomal RNA", at positions 524 to 776 of the family's 1533-position model. The record is from RNAcentral.
UACGUAGGGGGCAAGCGUUGCCCGGAAUCAUUGGGCGUAAAGCGCGCGUAGGCGGCCCGGUAAGUCCGUUGUGAAAGUCAAAGGCUCAACCUUUGAACGCCGAUGGAUACUGCCGGGCUAGAGUCCGGAAGAGGCGAGUGGAAUUCCUGGUGUAGCGGUGGAAUGCGCAGAUAUCAGGAGGAACACCGGUGGCGAAGGCGGGUCUCUGGGCCGAUACUGACGCUGAGGAGCGAAAGCGUGGGGAGCGAACAGG